RNAcentral lists this long non-coding RNA (296 nucleotides) under Vigna radiata. RNAcentral's name for it is "long non-coding RNA (VRAD_LNC018488)". Lineage: Eukaryota; Viridiplantae; Streptophyta; Magnoliopsida; Fabales; Fabaceae. The record is from RNAcentral.
CAAAUCUUCAUUUUUCUGCUCUUUUCUUGAGUCAAUGACCUGUAUCUUUAACUCCAUUCUUUACUUUCUCAAAUUAGCUACAAAACAAUGCAAAACAAGCAUAAAAUCGCUAAAAACAACUUUUGACUCUCUCCAGACUCAUUUAUUGAGUUUUGCUUGAUUCUAGGCUCAUUCCAANUAGUAAAGAGUGUAAUUUGGUCCAAAUUGACAUAUGAAAAUAACUGUUUUUCAACCUUCAUCAACACCCCAAACUUAGAAUUUUGCUUGUCCUCAAGCAAAACAAAACAAAACAACAC